RNA transcript from Manacus vitellinus (golden-collared manakin), 2669 nucleotides. It is a transcript of the gene named zinc finger protein 207, with no coding region annotated. Lineage: Eukaryota; Metazoa; Chordata; Aves; Passeriformes; Pipridae. The transcript has 13 exons. The record is from RefSeq and is a predicted model, not a curated record.
CACGCUGGGAGCGCGGAGGCGGUGGCGCCUGAGGGAGCGCGGCCGCCAUUUUGUACCUCCUCGCUCGGUCCGGGGCGGUCGCGCGGGCGCUGCGGUUCUGAGGGAGCGCUCGGCUCUCCUGCUCUGUAGCUCGGGGUCGCUACCACAGCCAUGGGACGUAAGAAGAAGAAGCAGCUGAAGCCUUGGUGCUGGUAUUGUAAUAGGGAUUUUGACGAUGAAAAAAUCCUUAUACAGCAUCAGAAAGCAAAGCACUUUAAAUGCCAUAUAUGUCAUAAGAAACUGUAUACAGGACCUGGUUUAGCUAUACAUUGCAUGCAGGUACAUAAGGAAACAAUAGAUGCUGUUCCAAAUGCUAUUCCCGGAAGAACAGACAUUGAACUGGAAAUCUAUGGGAUGGAGGGCAUUCCAGAAAAAGAUAUGGAGGAACGGAGGAGGUUACUUGAACAAAAAACUCAGGAGAGCCAGAAAAAGAAACAACAGGAUGAUUCUGAUGAGUAUGAAGAUGACGAGUCUGCGGCUUCGACUUCAUUUCAACCCCAGCAAGUUCAGCCACAGCAGGGGUACAUUCCCCCAAUGGCACAGCCGGGUUUGCCUCCUGUGCCAGGUGCUCCAGGGAUGCCUCCAGGUAUUCCGCCAUUAAUGGCAGGUGUUCCACCUAUGAUGCCUGGAAUGCCUCCAGUUAUGCCUGGAAUGCCACCUGGGAUGAUGCCAAUGGGUGGAAUGAUGCCUCCUGGGCCAGGAAUCCCACCUCUUAUGCCUGGUAUGCCACCAGGUAGGUCAGGGUUGUCGAACUCGUACUAUGGUAUGCCUCCCCCCGUGGGGCCACGGCCUGGCAUGCCCCCAAUGACACAAGCACAGCCUGUCACAGCUCCAGGCAUCCUUAACCGGCCUCCAGCUCCUGCUGCAACAGCACCCACCCCGCAGCCUCCAGUCACUAAACCACUCUUCCCAAGUGCGGGGCAGAUGGGGACACCUGUCACAAGCUCAAGUGCAGCUUCCUCCAAUUCAGAAAGUCUGUCAGCGUCCUCUAAUGCUCUGUUUCCUAGCACAGCACAAGCUGCAGCAGCUGUGCCAGGGCCAGUUGGUACUGAUUUCAAACCUUUGAAUUCUACACCUGCAACGACAACAGAGCCCCCAAAACCUACAUUCCCUGCUUACACACAGUCCACAGCCUCAACCACUAGCACCACCAACAGUACUGCAGCUAAACCAGCCACAUCUAUAACAAGUAAGCCUGCUACCCUCACCACAACCAGUGCAACCAGUAAGUUGAUCCAUCCAGAUGAGGAUAUAUCACUGGAAGAGCGAAGGGCUCAGUUGCCCAAGUACCAGCGCAAUCUGCCUCGGCCAGGACAGGCUGCCCUGGGUAAUCCACCAGUUGGACCAAUUGGAGGUAUGAUGCCACCACAGCCAGGAAUUCCUCCACAGCAACAAGGAAUGAGACCUCCCAUGCCACCUCAUGGUCAGUAUGGUGCUCAUCACCAGGGCAUGCCAGGAUAUCUUCCUGGGGCCAUGCCUCCAUACGGUCAGGGACCUCCGAUGGUGCCCCCGUACCAAAGUGGACCUCCUCGACCUCCCAUGGGAAUGAGACCCCCCGUAAUGUCGCAAGGUGGCCGCUACUGACGCUCCUACUCACGCUCUAAUAGGUUUUUAGAAGUGAAGUAUAGUAAAUAUGGUUCGUUAAAUUGUGAAGGCGCUGGAAUUACAUGAACAUACCACCUUAAAGCCCUGCCAUAGGACAGGCUGAGGCAGAGUCUCAGUGUUGCCCUGUUCAGUCUGAGGCAAGUGGGAUUUAUUUUAUUCAUUCUGGGGGCUUUCACAGCUUUAUGGCUGUUGGAUAUUUAUGUCCCCAAACUUGCAGCAAGUUUGGUGAAGGCCCCUAAAUUUAUUUUAAUUUAGGUUUUUUAUUCUCUUUUGGUAGAUGGGCUCUAUAUUAAUAUUUAUCUUUUUAUUAUCGUUGUGGUUUUAAGAGUCUUAGGGGGAGGGAGGCUGUUUAAGAUGUUUGGGUACCUUUUCUCUUGGAAUGCAUUUCCUUGGAGGCUGCUCAGGGGUCCUUCAGCCACACUGCCCCUCCCCACCUUUCCCUGCAUUGCAUUUGUGCUGUAUUUGUUUUGGGGUUUGGUAGUGUUGACUUUGUGUAGUCUCUGAAUUAGUGGCAUGUAAAUACCAAGUACUAAUGUUUCCUCUUCUGGGGAGAUGUAUCUGUUGAAGUGCUUAAAAUAGGUUUUACCCAGCAGGUGACAUUUAUAGGCACCAAAUUGUGUAGCCCAAAUUCCAGAACAGUUUCUUUGCAGAAGGUUGAGAUGUUAAUCCUGCUGCAUACGUGAGCUGCACCUCAGCAAAUAUUAAUGUAGAGCCCUGGGAGGAACCUGAGGUUUGAUCCAAGUUGGUAACACAGAAUAGAAGAGUGGAAAAUGGAAGCUGCAGAUUUUAAUUCUGGAGUUUCUGGAAGAACCUUUUCCUCAACCUCUCCAAUACACCAAACUCAACAGUAUUUUGACUUGCAACAAUAGUGAAAGUCACAGCAGUUUUUUUUAAACUUUGUGAAAUUCUGUUGCAUAUUCAAAAUUUGCUUAGUUAUGUUUAUUUGAAGUUCCUUCUCUCACACAGUGACUAGCAAAAAAUUGUACCCUUUGUGAAGGAAAAGCUGCUCACUCUGGUGCAGAUAC